RNAcentral lists this transfer RNA (74 nucleotides) under Caudoviricetes sp. RNAcentral describes it as "tRNA-Ser". It matches the Rfam family "tRNA". From Rfam's summary of the family: Transfer RNA (tRNA) molecules are approximately 80 nucleotides in length. Their secondary structure includes four short double-helical elements and three loops (D, anti-codon, and T loops). Further hydrogen bonds mediate the characteristic L-shaped molecular structure. tRNAs have two regions of fundamental functional importance: the anti-codon, which is responsible for specific mRNA codon recognition, and the 3' end, to which the tRNAs corresponding amino acid is attached (by aminoacyl-tRNA synthetases). tRNAs cope with the degeneracy of the genetic code in two manners: having more than one tRNA (with a specific anti-codon) for a particular amino acid; and 'wobble' base-pairing, i.e. permitting non-standard base-pairing at the 3rd anti-codon position. Lineage: Duplodnaviria; Heunggongvirae; Uroviricota; Caudoviricetes. RNAcentral also lists the same sequence under 1 other name. The record is from RNAcentral.
CGCAGGGUAGCGCAGCCCGGAAGCGCGCUGGAUUGCUUGUCCGGAGGUCGCAGGUUCAACUCCUGCCCCUGCUA